AAGUCGUAACAAGGUUUCCGUAGGUGAACCUGCGGAAGGAUCAUUAACACGAAUUUUAUCCAAUAUCAAAACAAACCGUGAACUUUUCCCCUCCCUAUUUUGGUUUUUAACAACACCAAAUAGGCUAAAUUUUUUAAAACUUAUUUUUAACCACUUUAAUUUUUCAGUCUGUUGAUGUUUAAUCGCAUCAUAAAGGCUUACUAAACUAAAACAUUUACUUAGGGCUUAAUGUCCUAAUUAGAUAUUUUUCUUUACGAAAUAAAUUUUACUUAUAAGAACAACUCUUAGCAAUGGAUAUCUUGGUUCUC
Molecule: unclassified non-coding RNA, 308 nt
Filed under: fungal sp.
Lineage: Eukaryota; Fungi
Description: partial internal transcribed spacer region
Rfam family: Eukaryotic small subunit ribosomal RNA (bases 1-46)
Source: RNAcentral